Molecule: microRNA precursor, 143 nt
Filed under: Gossypium arboreum
Lineage: Eukaryota; Viridiplantae; Streptophyta; Magnoliopsida; Malvales; Malvaceae
Description: MIR7502 microRNA precursor family
Rfam family: MIR7502 microRNA precursor family
Source: Rfam by way of RNAcentral
UGUUAAAAAUUCCAAUCAUUUUACUGUUUAAAAUUGUUGUGAAUGACAGAAUAAAAAAAGAAUUACACAUGGCAUAUCACGUGUACCUCAUAUGGCCUACAAUGACUAGUUUUCAAUAGUUGAAUUGGAUGAACUUUUUAACA